RNAcentral lists this ribosomal RNA (216 nucleotides) under Glomeromycotina sp. RNAcentral describes it as "partial small subunit ribosomal RNA". The stretch from base 44 to 216 matches the Rfam family "Eukaryotic small subunit ribosomal RNA", at positions 690 to 864 of the family's 1831-position model. The record is from RNAcentral. Lineage: Eukaryota; Fungi; Glomeromycota.
GGGUCAGUAGGUUGGUCGUGCCACCGGUACGUACUGGUCCCACUGAUUCCUCCUUCCUGAAGAACCGUAAUGCCAUUAAUUUUGUGUUGCGGGGAAACAGGACUGUUACUUUGAAAAAAUUAGAGUGUUUAAAGCAAGCUAACGCUUGAAUACAUUAGCAUGGAAUAAUGAAAUAGGACGAUCGAUCCUAUUUUGCUGGUUUCUAGGAUUGACGUA